CCAAUAGCGUAUAUCAAAGUUGUUGCAGUUAAAAAGCUCGUAGUUGAACCUUAGGCCCGUGCGGGUGGUCCGUCCUCAGGGCGAGCACUGCCUCGUCGCGGGUCUCACCUUCUGGCGAGCGUCGAUGCCAUUCACUUGGUGUCGGCGGGAACCAGGACCUUUACCUUGAAAAAAUUAGAGUGCUCAAAGCGGGCUCGUACGCUUGAAUACAUUAGCAUGGAAUAAUGAAAUAGGACGACGGUUCUAUUUUGUUGGUUUCCGGGACAGUCGUAAUGAUUAAUAGGGAUAGUUGGGGGCAUUCGUAUUCAAUUGUCAGAGGUGAAAUUCUUGGAUUUAUUGAAGACGAACUACUGCGAAAGCAUUUGCCAAGGAUGUUUUCAUUAAUCAAGAACGAAAGUUGGGGGAUCGAAGACGAUCAGAUACCGUCGUAGUCUCAACCAUAAACUAUGCCGACUGGGAAUCGGGCGAUGUUAUUUUUCGUGACUCGCUCGGCGCCCCGAG
RNAcentral lists this ribosomal RNA (501 nucleotides) under uncultured Glomeromycotina. RNAcentral's name for it is "partial small subunit ribosomal RNA". It matches the Rfam family "Eukaryotic small subunit ribosomal RNA", at positions 591 to 1092 of the family's 1831-position model. Lineage: Eukaryota; Fungi; Glomeromycota. The record is from RNAcentral.